RNAcentral lists this ribosomal RNA (614 nucleotides) under uncultured beta proteobacterium. RNAcentral describes it as "bacterial SSU rRNA". It matches the Rfam family "Bacterial small subunit ribosomal RNA", at positions 99 to 709 of the family's 1533-position model. The record is from RNAcentral. Lineage: Bacteria; Pseudomonadati; Pseudomonadota; Betaproteobacteria.
CGAACGGGUGAGUAAUACAUCGGAACGUGUCCGUUUGUGGGGGACAACCGUCCGAAAGGAUGGCUAAUACCGCAUAAGACCUGAGGGUGAAAGCCGGGGACCGCAAGGCCCGGCGCAGACGGAGCGGCCGAUGAUUGAUUAGCUAGUUGGGGAGGUAAAGGCUCACCAAGGCGACGAUCAAUAGCUGGUCUGAGAGGACGACCAGCCACACUGGAACUGAGACACGGUCCAGACUCCUACGGGAGGCAGCAGUGGGGAAUUUUGGACAAUGGGGGCAACCCUGAUCCAGCCAUGCCGCGUGCGGGAAGAAGGCCUUCGGGUUGUAAACCGCUUUUGUCAGGGACGAAAAGCUCCGGAGUAAUAUGCCGGAGUGCUGACGGUACCUGAAGAAUAAGCACCGGCUAACUACGUGCCAGCAGCCGCGGUAAUACGUAGGGUGCAAGCGUUAAUCGGAAUUACUGGGCGUAAAGCGUGCGCAGGCGGUUGGGUAAGACAGAUGUGAAAUCCCCGGGCUUAACCUGGGAACUGCAUUUGUGACUGUCCGACUGGAGUACGUCAGAGGGGGGUGGAAUUCCACGUGUAGCAGUGAAAUGCGUAGAUAUGUGGAAGAACAC